Molecule: long non-coding RNA, 223 nt
Organism: Amphimedon queenslandica
Lineage: Eukaryota; Metazoa; Porifera; Demospongiae; Haplosclerida; Niphatidae
Exons: 2
Source: RefSeq, a predicted model, not a curated record
UUUGUGCAGAAAACAAAGUCUAUUCUUUAGUCAGGUCUAUUUUACUGACUGCUGAUGCAUUAUGGAAGGAGAUUCAGCUGGACCACCUCAUAGACAAAUGAUUUCAGAUUCUCUGCAAAUGUGGAUUCUAUUUCCAGCUUUAUUAGUGUUCCUAGUGAUCAUUGGAUUUCUUAUAUAUAAACUACUGCAACGACAAAGGGCAAGGAACAACAAGGAAAAGAAA